CAGCAGCCACGGGAAUACGAAGGGGGCUAGCGUUGCUCGGAAUGACUGGGCGUAAAGGGCGCGUAGGCGGCGAUCAAAGUCAGGCGUGAAAUUCCUGGGCUCAACCUGGGGGCUGCGCUUGAUACUUGGUUGCUUGAGUGGGGAAGAGGGUCGUGGAAUUCCCAGUGUAGAGGUGAAAUUCGUAGAUAUUGGGAAGAACACCGGUGGCGAAGGCGGCGACCUGGUCCAUUACUGACGCUGAGGCGCGAAAGCGUGGGGAGCAAACAGGAUUAGAGACCCCUGUAGUCCCUGUCUCUUAUAC
RNAcentral lists this ribosomal RNA (301 nucleotides) under uncultured bacterium. RNAcentral's name for it is "partial 16S ribosomal RNA". It matches the Rfam family "Bacterial small subunit ribosomal RNA", at positions 509 to 807 of the family's 1533-position model. The record is from RNAcentral.